GAGAGGACCGGAGUGGACGCAUCACUGGUGUUCGGGUUGUCAUGCCAAUGGCACUGCCCGGUAGCUAAAUGCGGAAGAGAUAAGUGCUGAAAGCAUCUAAGCACGAAACUUGCCCCGAGAUGAGUUCUCCCUGACCCUUUAAGGGUCCUGAAGGAACGUUGAAGACGACGACGUUGAUAGGCCGGGUGUGUAAGCGCAGCGAUGCGUUGAGCUAACCGGUACUAAUGAACCGUGAGGCUUAACCUUACAACGCCGAAGCUGUU
Molecule: ribosomal RNA, 263 nt
Filed under: Escherichia coli
Lineage: Bacteria; Pseudomonadati; Pseudomonadota; Gammaproteobacteria; Enterobacterales; Enterobacteriaceae
Description: partial 23S ribosomal RNA
Rfam family: Bacterial large subunit ribosomal RNA
Source: RNAcentral